AAAAAAGCCGUGGACGCAAUCCUACCAACUCAGACAUUAGGAGUAGAGAUGGACGAGUUGGUUGAAUAGUACGGUUUAUUUUCGUCCCACCACUUUCAACCGUUUUUUUUCGCUGGUUUUUUUCGUCUCCCCUCCCACCACCCUACCAGUUUAUCUUUUCACCACUAUUUCCUUAUAAACAAACACUUUCCUACCGUACAAAAAGUCAUAAAUCUAACUUUCCUAACUUAGCCUAAUCAACCGAUCCAUCUCAUUAAUGGAAUUUGCUUUAAGAAACAAAUAAUGGAUUUGAAGGAAACAAAUAAAGGACUUUAAGGGAAAAUCCAAUUGACUAAUCGACAAAUAUGUAUAUGAACCUUCCUUCUUCAAAACUCCACUCGGUCCUGAUGGUAGGUAUCGACGUUGUUUCGUUCGUCCUCCCUCAAACAUGUAAAAAAGGAAACUCCUCCCGCAAAACAGCCAUGAUUCACGGACGCGGGAUCAUUCCCCACCAAGAUUCCCAUCCCUCCGCGAAUCUACACGUCGACAUUUUGCCAUUCACAUCCGCGCCAGAUCCCUCACCGCAUUGUCUCCCCCAUCCCUCAUUGCACCAUGGCAGCUCCCUCCAUAGCACCACAUCGGCUUAUAGUCACGUCGCGCUAGGUAUGGGUCCACGGGAGCUAGCGCCCGGAGGCCCCAGGUCCAGUGUUACUCGUUCCCGCCACCGGCCUCGCCACCUACAUCGACGGCGGGAUCCGCAGCCUCCUCCUUCUAUUGGGCGAUACAAGGAUCCGAUGUUGUGUGCUGCUCCAUCUACACGCCUUCUUUCUUAUAGGAAUCGGCUUCGCAGGUUAGUCCUCGAUCUUCCAUGUGGCUUACUGAAUUUGAAGUAGUGAUGGAACUAUGAUCUGAGGCAAAUGUGUGCAGAUAUUCAGUAGCUGAAGUCUCCCGAUUGAUAACAUACACAUCGAGGCCCGGAUACACAAGAGGCAGUACCAAGCAGCUACAACUCUCCGGCGACAGCAACAACAAGAUGAAGUUGUUAAUCCUGCUGAUGCGCGCCGCUGUCGUCGGGAUAUUUGUGAGGGGAAGCACCCUUUUCGAGAGAUUUCAGAGAAGAAGUAUGUUCCCUCGGCUUCUUCUUCGGUUGGUUUAUUUUUGGGCACGCCGCCUCCUGGUCUGAGUGGUGUUUCAGUUGGUGCUCUGCCGCAGGCCUCUGUCCUCACGUGGUACUUCUGUUUCACAUGGCCAUUGCCGGUCUUCCUAAUUCUGCUGUCUCGCCGACAGCUCCUGCGGCCCCUCUCUUUGCUGGUGCAUUGGCUGCUGUGCUAGAUAUUUCGUCUUUGUGCUCUUCUUGCUUGGUGGAUAUUCAUAUGUACAGAUGCUGGCUUCCCAUCUAUUUUGCAAAGGACAAUUUCUUCUAGUUCUAAUGUGCGCACGAGAGGGGGGCGUCAGGGUUCGUUGUCAGCUAGCUGUCUGAAUCUUCGUGCUUCGGAUUGGUCUGAUGAUCUACAGCACGUACGACGGAGGACAACAGAAUUCUACUGAAUUGUGGCGGCGCCGUCAAGAGAUUGAUGAAGGAAAACGUCCUGUGUUGGGUUCUUCAGAUUGUGCCUGAACUAGCGGGAGCCUCUGAAGCAGCGAGAGAGUAACGGAUGGGGAAACUGGCAGAUCCUUUUGUGUGGACGACAACUCGACGGUGGCAACUCGACCAGGUUUGCCGUGAGAAGGCCAGACUAUGCGAGAGAUUUGGCGCGUGUAGUUUAUUUUGUCGCUAAUUACGGUGGAGUGUGGUUAGAUUAUCAGCUUUGUUAGAUGAAUAGGGCAUGGAAGGAGCGGUGGAUAUGAGCUCCUACGGCAUAACUACUAUGCCUUGAGCAACGUCAGAGGAGCCGACUCCCGCUGAGAAUACAUUUUAUUUUCUUUAGCCGAUUAAUUCCAAUAAUUAAUGAGGGCUGAUGCACCCCGGGAGCAGCUGCCAAGAUGGAAGUUUUAGCAAAUAGGACGCCUUCCAUCAAAGGGAAACUACGACCAACUCCGCUCUCGUUGGCUGGCGAUGCAUGACGAGGCCAAUGGACAACUUGGUGCUACACAAAUGAAUCAAGGAGAACAUGCUAACAGACCAGCAACGUGCUAGGAGGCCAACGGGAGCAUUACCUGGUGUUGACCGGCGGGCAAAUGACAUCAUAUAUGUUUUUGUCCAACCAAGGGGUGCCGGUCAACCUACUAGGAGAUGGCAUAUAUGGGCCUUGAGGACAUGGCACCGUUCAGGAGGGCGGCAUUCCGACAACACUCCAGCAUAGACUCAUCGUGAUACAUGGACAUGGGCUGGUAAACAGAGGUAACAGGGAGCCUGAACAUCAGCACAUCAAGAAGGAAGCUGAUGAUGAUGAAUACGACCAUCUUGGCAUGGAUUGCUGCUGCUGCCAUGCCCAUGUCCAGCAACAUGUUGUUGUGCCAGUGCUGCAACCUUCUACUCCAAACACGAUCGCAGGCAAUGUGGUCAUGAACUUUUGGGAUACUUAAUGUUCCCUGUAUUUUUCUAGCAAUGUCUUAGGUAGGACGUAGAUGCAAGGGCUCAUAUAAAUAUCAAUGAAUUGAUAUUAGUUACCAUGAUAAUUUGGUUAUAUAUAUGACCAUAUCCGAAUCAUUUUAGGCUUAUAAUGGCAUUUGUUUUAAUGAUUUAUUUAUAGAGUAUUACAAUGGUGACAAUGGAGGGAUUCUUCUCUUUUUGUAUACCAUGUAUUUUUCAUGUUUAUACCUUCACCGCGGGUCUCUAAAUCUAAACAAAAAAAGGUCAUUUUCAUUUUCUUUACUUUACUAUGUUUCGUAUACUUACAUUAUGUUCUUGUAACUGCAUGAUGGUAGCACUUGUUUUUUCUUUCUAUUUGUUUCCUUUUAUCCAAAAUUUUAACUGAACUAGGUAGGAUGCCACAACCUAUUUAGCCUCUUUUGUGUGAUUGCAUGCUGAUAAACUUAUGAAACAGAUGAUAGAUUAGGUGUGCAUGUAAUGAGAUGGUGUGGUUGAUUGAGAUGAUGCUAGAGUGACGCAGUGUGGCAACGAGAGAAGGAGGUGAGUUGAGAGGUAGGUAAAGAGGGUAUAAGAGGAGAAAUAAAGAAACAAUUGUUUUUUUUCUUUCUAUUAAAGCAUACAUAUCUACAACAAUCUAUUUGGAUUUUUAUUUUACAGUUUAAGCAGUGGAGUGUAUAGAAGCUGAACCAAUUGUCUUAGUGAGCAGUCUACAAAUAACAUGCAAGUUUACAGCAGAUAUAGACUCCUGCUGAUGUCAUCACCCAGUGUUGCACAAUGUUGUUUGUAGCCUAGCCGUUGAACAUGACAUAUCAACUUAGUUCUUCUAUUUUUUAUACUUGGUGAAGAGAUUGUCUAUAGCCUAGCUGUCAGACAUGAUGCAUCCAACCAUUUGCGAGAUAGCUACAGUUCUGAGUGCAGUGUUCUCUUGAAUGUAACUAGGGGUACAAUUUAGCUUGAUUCGGCGAGUUUGAUUCCAGCAAGUCUUCUAUGCAUCUGUGCACUAAAAAAAGUGAACUCUGAUACAUACAGGAUGUGCAAGAUCAUGCAAGCAAAGACUUAUUCCUUUCAUAAAGAUAAAUUGGUUGAAUCUAUGGCUUUAGUAUCUUACGAGGCAGUCAUGUUUCUGAAUAGCAGAUGGCAACUUAAUUUAGGUUACAUAGUAUUAUCUCAUAUUUUUGCUUGCAAUUUUAUUUGAACUUGAUAAAUACAUGACUAUUGUAGUUCUUUGAAAUCAAGCUCAAAUAAUCCUAAGUGAAUGCAAGCUUUAGUUAGUGUUUGGUUUCCAGUCAUCUUAUAUGUCCUUAUUUCUCAUGUUGUACUACGACACAUAGAAUAGAAAGUUCAGUUGUGGCGACAGAUAUUACUUAUAGUACAAGGAAAACACAUGUAAAUGUAAACUGCGUGACUAAAAACGUCAAGAAGCAUAACUCAGUUGUUUAGCUUAAUUAAAAGGUGAUAUCAUUUUUGGGUUUUCUAGCUGGAGAACUUUCCACUUUAUAUGUAUGUUAGUCCAAAUAAUUAUCAAAUUCCCUCAACUACCAGUGGAAAAACAGUUGUCCUGAAAAGUCUUUCUUUCCUACAAAGGCAGCUUAGUGGACUGGAGCCAUAUCAAAGUUAGUAGAAGUACCAACAUGUUUGAGCCAUGCUUUUGUUUUACACCAUCAUCUUUCACAUGUACAUUUGAGCCGACUGAAUUAUAUAUCGCUUUAUCUCCACAAUUCUCCUUUUUAGAAGAGAAUUACUAUAAUUUGUGUAUGUACAGUGUUCGGUCAGCAUGUGGCAGAUUGGUUAAUUGGUUUAGAGAAGGCGGGCAUACAAGUUGUUCGGCAAAACAAAUAUUUGUUGUGUAGACAGUGCAUAUAUUUUACUGAUAUGCAUGGUUGGACAUAGUACCUAUGUUACGUGAGGAGUAACGUAAGAUGAAGUGUAACAUGGUGGACAUGGCUUCAUGACAGAGCUGGUGGAGAGAUGUUAUGGGGUGAUGUUGAGGUCGGCGGCGAAAGAAAUGGGCAAAUGGGGUUCCUGAUAGGUUCCCGACUUUCUCAUGGAGCGAUGCAAUGUGCAGCAACACCGUAUUGGGUUCCAUUUCUAGAUGGAGAAGAAUGGAUGAACGACAUGUGCGCG
RNAcentral lists this ribosomal RNA (4636 nucleotides) under Triticum aestivum (bread wheat). Its description in RNAcentral is "partial small subunit ribosomal RNA". The record is from RNAcentral. Lineage: Eukaryota; Viridiplantae; Streptophyta; Magnoliopsida; Poales; Poaceae.